UCCUUUAUUUUCGGUCGGACAAAAUGUGGCUUUACACCGUGUCAGACUGGCAUGGCUGUCUCCUCUAGUCUUGUCCUUCGUUAUCUCUACUUAAAUGAUGUUAUCUUUCAACCGUUUGUUGUCAACAAAUUAUACCUUCACCACUUGUCUUCGACGAAAAUCCCAACCACAUAUAAGCUCCCAUUAUAGAAAUGUACCGCCCUACAAACGAUGUGUGUCUUCAGUUAAACAUAACGAAAGCUCAUCACCUCGCAAAAGUAACUUUGAAACUUUCAGAGAAAAACUCGUGCACGGACCCAACUUUGAUGACUUCUUAUGCAAUAAUUCAAAUGAAACAAUUAUUAAACAGAACAAUAUCCCUGCAGAAAUAACCAAUGACAUACCUUAUUUACAUAAAUCUCUAUUUAAGGGCCAACGACGUAGAGUUUAUCUUGAAACCUAUGGUUGUCAGAUGAAUGUUAAUGAUACAGAUAUUGUCUGGUCAAUAUUGGAGAAGGAGGAUUUUGAAAGAAGUUUUGAUAUCAAAAAUUGUGAUGUAGCAUUCCUGAUGACCUGUUCUAUUCGAGAGGGAGCUGAAACUAAGAUAUGGAAACGUCUAGAAUACUUGAACUUCUUAAAGAAGAAAAGAAAAAGAAACUCUAUGAAAAUUGGAAUUUUGGGAUGUAUGGCAGAGCGGCUGAAAACCAAGAUUCUGGAACAAAGCAAGGCUGUUGAUAUUGUUUGUGGUCCUGAUGCAUAUCGAGAUCUCCCUCACCUUUUGGCAGUUUCCUAUGAAGGGCAGACUGCAGUGAAUGUUCUAUUGUCUUUGGAAGAAACUUAUGCUGAUAUUAUGCCAGUUCAUGUUAAUAACACCAGUAAAUCUGCUUUUGUGUCAAUCAUGCGUGGUUGUGAUAAUAUGUGUUCCUAUUGCAUUGUGCCCUUUACACGGGGACGAGAACGGAGUAGGCCAGUGGAUUCUAUCCUGGAAGAAAUUCGCAUCUUAUCAGAUCAGGGCAUCAAAGAAGUCACACUUUUGGGUCAGAAUGUGAAUAGUUACCGUGACCUUUCCACAUGGCAAAGUGGUGUUGACCUCAACCCCACGCAGAUGGCAUCAGGCUUUAAAACUGUAUAUAAAUCUAAAAAAGGGGGACUGCGUUUUGCUGACUUAUUGGACAAAGUUGCUUCCAUAAAUCCAGAAAUGCGAAUCCGUUUUACAUCACCUCAUCCAAAGGAUUUCCCAGAUUCAGUGUUGCAGUUAAUCAAAGAAAAGCCCAAUAUUUGCAAACAGAUUCACCUCCCUGCACAAAGUGGUAACAACUUUAUCUUGGAACAGAUGCGACGUGGAUAUACAAGAGAAGCUUACCUUGAUCUUGUUCAUCAUGUUCGUCAUGUGAUUCCAGACAUAAGCCUGUCCAGUGACUUCAUAGCUGGUUUCUGUGGUGAGACAGAGGCAGCUCAUCGUGACACCGUCUCCUUGAUGGAAGAGGUCUGCUACAACUUUGCCUUCACUUUCCCAUACAGUAUGAGGCAGAAAACCCGUGCUCACCAUCGACUCAUUGAUGAUGUCCCCAGUGAGAUUAAAGCCAGGCGACAGGCUGAACUGGCAGAGACAUUUCGCAAAGGAGCUUUAGAACUGAACACACAGCAGAUUGGGCAGUUACAAAUUGUUCUCAUCAGUGGAACGAGUAAGCGGUCUCAACUGGAUCUUGCUGGCCGGAAUGAUGGCAACACAAAAGUUAUUAUACCACAGACCAAAAUACCAAUUUUUGAAGAAGCAGAGCCAACAAGAACAAUAGAAGUGGGUGACUACAUUGUUGUUCGAGUUCUAUAUAAAAGUGUAGUUCACCAUUUUUCAACUGAGGGUAUGUUUCUGCUCCCUGCUGAAGGACAAAUUCAACAGUGGAGGCAGAGAAAUCACACUUGAUUUUCUUGUUUAGCCCAGAAAUUCAUAUUUUUCUUAUGUCAUGCAGAAUUUACCAGCGGCUUACAACUCUGUUGUUAGUGUUGAAGUUCAAUAUAACUGGUGCCUCUUCUCAAGUGCUGAAAGGUGAACCUCUGUACCACACAACUUUGGUAAACUUCAGCAGAAAACAAACCCCCCAAAGAAUCCAAUAUUGCCACAGUUAAUUGGUCAUUUGCUUGAGUAAUAGGAGUGAAAUCUACAUUUCAACCUCAUCAAUUUGCAGUCCACUUUCAUCAGCUGCAACUAUGAAAAUAUCCAGCUAACAGUCCAUGAACAAUCAACCUGCAAGAGAACACAACUAAAUCUUUCUCAAGUCAACCCUACCAUCUUAAAACAAAGCAUUUAAUUGUAUAACUUAGAAUACAAUUAAAAAAAAAAAGCAGUGAGAAGAAAGAUGAUACCUGCAAAACCCAAAC
This is an RNA transcript of Octopus sinensis (East Asian common octopus), 2358 nucleotides long. It is a transcript of the gene named mitochondrial tRNA methylthiotransferase CDK5RAP1, with no coding region annotated. The record is from RefSeq and is a predicted model, not a curated record. The transcript is spliced from 13 exons. Lineage: Eukaryota; Metazoa; Mollusca; Cephalopoda; Octopoda; Octopodidae.